CACAAUUCCAUAACAACAACACUCACUAAAUCCCAGUGCUUUAUAGCAAAGCUGACUAUAAACUCUCAACUUUAGAAAUAAUAAUGCAGUGACCUAUGAUGAUGUGCAUGUCAACUUCACUUUGGAAGAGUGGACUUGACUGGAUCCUUCCCAGAAGAAUUCUACAAAGAGGUGAUGAUUGAGACCUACAGGAACAUCACUACUAUAGGAUACAGUUGGGAAAAUCAUAAUAUUGAAGAACAUUUUCAAAAUUCUAGAAGACAUGCAAGGCAUGAAAUAAGUCAAACUGGAGAGAAGAAACCUUUCAUAUAUACUGAAUGUGGUAAAACCGUUGUACAUGAGAGUCAUCUUCAAAGGCAUGAAAGUGCACCUAUGGGAAAGAAACAAUUUCAAUGUAAUCAGUGUGUUAAAGCCUUUGCAUAUCACAAUAAUCUUCAAAGGCAUAAAAGAACACAUACUGGAGAGAAACCCUAUGAAUGUAAUCAAUGUGGUAAAGCCUUUGAACGACAUGAUAAUCUUCAAAAUCAUAAAAGAAUACAUACAGGAGAGAAAUCCUAUGAAUGUAAUCAGUGUGGUAAAGCCUUUGCAUAUCACCAAACUCUUCAAAUGCAUAAAAGAAGACAUACUGGAGAUAAACUAUGAAUGUAAUCAAUGUUUUAAGUCCUAUGCUCAUCACAGAACUCUUCAAAUACAUAAAAGAAGACAUCCUGGAGAGAAACCCAAUGAAUGUAAUCAAUGUGGUAAAGUCUAUGCUCAUCACACUACUCUUAAAAUACAUUCAAGAAGACAUGCUGGAGCAAAAGACUAUGACCAUAAUUAACUUGGUAAAGCUUUUCGUCAUCACAGUCAUCUUCAAAUGCAUGAAAAUCACAUACUAGAGAGAAACCCCAUGAAUUUAAUCAAUGUGGCAAGGACUUUCUUCACACACAGUACUCUUCAAAUGCAUGAAACAACACCUACUGGAGAGAAACCCUAUGAAUGUAAUCUGUGUGAUAAAGCCUUUGUAUGUAUCAGUA
Peromyscus eremicus (cactus mouse) is the source of this 1016-nucleotide long non-coding RNA. RefSeq lists it as uncharacterized. NCBI's taxonomy places the organism in Eukaryota, Metazoa, Chordata, Mammalia, Rodentia, Cricetidae. The record is from RefSeq and is a predicted model, not a curated record. The transcript is spliced from 4 exons.